CCUACGGGAGGCAGCAGUGGGGAAUAUUGGACAAUGGGGGAAACCCUGAUCCAGCAAUGCCGCGUGAGUGAUGAAGGCCUUAGGGUCGUAAAGCUCUUUUACCAGGGAUGAUAAUGACAGUACCUGGAGAAUAAGCUCCGGCUAACUCCGUGCCAGCAGCCGCGGUAAUACGGAGGGAGCUAGCGUUGUUCGGAAUUACUGGGCGUAAAGCGCACGUAGGCGGUUACACAAGUCAGAGGUGAAAGCCCGGGGCUCAACCCCGGAACUGCCUUUGAAACUGGGUGACUGGAAUCUUGGAGAGGCGAGUGGAAUUCCGAGUGUAGAGGUGAAAUUCGUAGAUAUUCGGAAGAACACCAGUGGCGAAGGCGACUCGCUGGACAAGUAUUGACGCUGAGGUGCGAAAGCAUGGGGAGCAAACAGGAUUAGAUACCCUGGUAGUCCACGCCGUAAACGAUGAUAACUAGCUGUCCGGUCACUUGGUGACUGGGUGGCGCAGCUAACGCAUUAAGUUAUCCGCCUGGGGAGUACGGUCGCAAGAUUAAAACUCAAAGGAAUUGACGG
This 561-nucleotide ribosomal RNA is filed under the name uncultured bacterium. Its description in RNAcentral is "bacterial SSU rRNA". It matches the Rfam family "Bacterial small subunit ribosomal RNA", at positions 338 to 916 of the family's 1533-position model. The record is from RNAcentral.